Molecule: unclassified non-coding RNA, 1868 nt
Filed under: Leishmania donovani
Lineage: Eukaryota; Euglenozoa; Kinetoplastea; Trypanosomatida; Trypanosomatidae
Description: gene:LdHU3.15.1060(CDS-product:hypothetical_prote in)
Source: RNAcentral
UGUUCUCUGUACACGCGCGUCGCUGUCGGAUUGUCAUGUGCCUCCCAACACAACCACCUCUCACCACAACCACCCGUCUUCUUUCCGUCAGCUGAAGUACAGGUGGUACAUGCAACGCACAAGACAUACCCACACAUAGAGGCACCGUAUUGAAGCGAGAUCCCUUGUAGCUCAGAGGAGGCACUCGAUUCGCAGCGUCCCCGCCGGAGCUCACCCCCACCCACCCACCCCGAUCCCAUCCUCCGCAGCUCACAGCAUUUAAGCACAAGACCACAAGCCGAAAGCGGCCAAUCAUGUUGAGCCGGCACGGCACACGGCUAGACCUCGGCACUGCCGAAGACAUUGCCGAGCUCAACGCCGCCGAGUCACUUCUACGGGCCGCCUACAAGUCUUCCACUGUUGUGGGCAGCAGCAGCGGUGGGAGCCCCGGGAGCGGCGGUGGUGGCUACUACACGCGUGCAGCACCCGCUGCGCUCGGUCACCUUCAGGCCAGUGGAAACGACACUUACGGUGGUGCCCCGUCGGUCGGAUCAGGAGGCGCAGGCGGAGGUGCCUUCCAUGCCUCCCUGGCCACGGCCGCCACCGUGACCACUGACUUUGCCGGCCCGGUGGUUGGCGGAAUCGCCAGGAGUAGCGUCGGCAUGCCUUACGGCGCAGCGGCAGCAAGCGGUGCCGCUGCACCACCGCAUGUCAACCUUGGCUACACCGCCAGACAGCGCAGCAGCGCUCCCACCCAUGGUGGGAGCGCACCAACCCCAUCCUCUGUCAGUGGCUACCCGCAGCGAGUGCUUUAUGCUGACGUGCAUACCGGAACUGAAGAGGGGGGUCAUUCCGGCAGCACCAUGGGGAUGAGCAGCUCUGGCUCUGCGAUGCGGACACCAGGAGGUGGUGGUAGCGCGACCGGAGUGGCGCCGUCGUCGAGCAGCGGCAUGCGUGCAACGGCGCCGGCGUUCUACCGUCCCCAGGUGAGCAUUGAGAGCGACAUGUACCGCGCAGGCACGGCCGCUGCGAGUGGGGCGGAGGAAGGUGGGGGCCGUGAGGAAAUCGAAAAGGUGCCGGAGCCGGAAACCGACGUGGAGCGCGGUCGAUCCUCGAUGCGCGGCUUUUUCGCCCCUCCUGCGACGGCGACCACCCCCACCCCCACUGCUGACGCCGCCGCCGCUGUCGGCUCCCGUCUUACUCGUCCGCCGCAGUCUCAGCGAGCGCAUGGGUCGCCUUACAUAUACCAUGCCCCGCACGACUCAGCAGCGUCAGCCCACGCAGGAGCCAUGCGCGUAGGCCGAGUCAGGGGGGAAGGAGGGCGCGGGGACGACGAGGAGGACAGCGAAGAGGCUUCAGCGCGGCCAAGCAGAGUGUCGGGCCGCUAUCACUUCCCACGGACUGAUGCGCCUUGAGUAUUCAUCACCUCCUCUCGUCUCCCCCGACCCUCCCUCAAUAGCCGUCUUGGCCCCGCAAGUAUGCGCGUGCACAUGCGCGAGGGAGGCAUGAGCGAAGGAGGGCGACAGAAGAUGCGGUGAGUGGUGUUAGUAGUGGUGCUUGCUGCCCGGCACCCGUGUAUUGGGCCGGUCGUACCCCUCCCCAACCCAUAUCUGCUCCUCCCCCACGUGUAGCCACUAGUCGUUCAGGGGAGGGGCAGUGUACACACGAUAGACAGGGAGGAGGGGGAGGAGCAACGCACAUACACACACGCGCACACAGCUCAUGAACAUGCAUAUAUGUGCGCCAAUACGGGUGUUCCCAUCCGUGAGAGCUCCUGUGUCGGCUCCUCUCACUCGCUCGCCCUGUCGCCGUCGCCCAGCGUACGGGCGAUCCAUCUCCGCCUCCCUGCCACGGCGUGGGUGGGGAUGCGCCGGUGGAAACGCAGAAUG